RNAcentral lists this unclassified non-coding RNA (199 nucleotides) under plant metagenome. RNAcentral describes it as "partial contains small subunit ribosomal RNA, internal transcribed spacer 1, and 5.8S ribosomal RNA". The record is from RNAcentral.
UCUCCGUUGGUGAACCAGCGGAGGGAUCAUUACCGAGUUUUUCUACUCCCAAACCCCUGUGAACUUAUAUCUGUUGCUUCGGCGGCUCGCUCCCGGGCGAGCCCGCCGGUAAUAUCAGUAUCUCUGUUUGAACCUGACGAUACUUCUGAGUGUUCUUAGCGAACAGUUAAAACUUUUAACAACGGAUCUCUUGGCUCUA